AGUAUACAUAAGUAACCUGCCCUAGACAGGGGGAUAACUAUUGGAAACGAUAGCUAAGACCGCAUAGGUACGGACACUGCAUGGUGACCGUAUUAAAAGUGCCUCAAAGCACUGGUAGAGGAUGGACUUAUGGCGCAUUAGCUGGUUGGCGGGGUAACGGCCCACCAAGGCGACGAUGCGUAGCCGACCUGAGAGGGUGACCGGCCACACUGGGACUGAGACACGGCCCAG
Molecule: ribosomal RNA, 231 nt
Filed under: uncultured bacterium
Lineage: Bacteria
Description: partial 16S ribosomal RNA
Rfam family: Bacterial small subunit ribosomal RNA
Source: RNAcentral